RNAcentral lists this ribosomal RNA (3071 nucleotides) under Campylobacter jejuni. RNAcentral's name for it is "23S ribosomal RNA". It matches the Rfam family "Bacterial large subunit ribosomal RNA". The record is from RNAcentral. Lineage: Bacteria; Pseudomonadati; Campylobacterota; Epsilonproteobacteria; Campylobacterales; Campylobacteraceae.
AAAAAAGGUAAGCUACUAAGAGCGAAUGGUGGAUGCCUUGACUGGUAAAGGCGAUGAAGGACGUACUAGACUGCGAUAAGCUACGGGGAGCUGUCAAGAAGCUUUGAUCCGUAGAUUUCCGAAUGGGGCAACCCAAUGUAUAGAGAUAUACAUUACCUAUAUAGGAGCGAACGAGGGGAAUUGAAACAUCUUAGUACCCUCAGGAAAAGAAAUCAAUAGAGAUUGCGUCAGUAGCGGCGAGCGAAAGCGCAAGAGGGCAAACCCAGUGCUUGCACUGGGGGUUGUAGGACUGCAAUGUGCAAGAGCUGAGUUUAGCAGAACAUUCUGGAAAGUAUAGCCAUAGAGGGUGAUAGUCCCGUAUGCGAAAAACAAAGCUUAGCUAGCAGUAUCCUGAGUAGGGCGGGACACGAGGAAUCCUGUCUGAAUCCGGGUCGACCACGAUCCAACCCUAAAUACUAAUACCAGAUCGAUAGUGCACAAGUACCGUGAGGGAAAGGUGAAAAGAACUGAGGUGAUCAGAGUGAAAUAGAACCUGAAACCAUUUGCUUACAAUCAUUCAGAGCACUAUGUAGCAAUACAGUGUGAUGGACUGCCUUUUGCAUAAUGAGCCUGCGAGUUGUGGUGUCUGGCAAGGUUAAGCAAACGCGAAGCCGUAGCGAAAGCGAGUCUGAAUAGGGCGCUUAGUCAGAUGCUGCAGACCCGAAACGAAGUGAUCUAUCCAUGAGCAAGUUGAAGCUAGUGUAAGAACUAGUGGAGGACUGAACCCAUAGGCGUUGAAAAGCCCCGGGAUGACUUGUGGAUAGGGGUGAAAGGCCAAUCAAACUUCGUGAUAGCUGGUUCUCUCCGAAAUAUAUUUAGGUAUAGCGUUGUGUCGUAAUAUAAGGGGGUAGAGCACUGAAUGGGCUAGGGCAUACACCAAUGUACCAAACCCUAUCAAACUCCGAAUACCUUAUAUGUAAUCACAGCAGUCAGGCGGCGAGUGAUAAAAUCCGUCGUCAAGAGGGAAACAACCCAGACUACCAGCUAAGGUCCCUAAAUCUUACUUAAGUGGAAAACGAUGUGAAGUUACUUAAACAACCAGGAGGUUGGCUUAGAAGCAGCCAUCCUUUAAAGAAAGCGUAAUAGCUCACUGGUCUAGUGAUUUUGCGCGGAAAAUAUAACGGGGCUAAAGUAAGUACCGAAGCUGUAGACUUGCACACAACUUAGAUUAUUUAAGUUUAGAAUAUGAGAAACUAAGUUAUAUGUUUAGUUAUAUUUUUACUGAUUUUUAUAGAGUAAAGAUAGAAAUAAAACUUAGUAAAAUCAGUAAAAAUAUUCUUAGGCUAAAGUUAAGUAGUUUAAGUUGUGUGCAAGUGGUAGGAGAGCGUUCUAUUUGCGUCGAAGGUAUACCGGUAAGGAGUGCUGGAGCGAAUAGAAGUGAGCAUGCAGGCAUGAGUAGCGAUAAUUAAUGUGAGAAUCAUUAACGCCGUAAACCCAAGGUUUCCUACGCGAUGCUCGUCAUCGUAGGGUUAGUCGGGUCCUAAGUCGAGUCCGAAAGGGGUAGACGAUGGCAAAUUGGUUAAUAUUCCAAUACCAACAUUAGUGUGCGAUGGAAGGACGCUUAGGGCUAAGGGGGCUAGCGGAUGGAAGUGCUAGUCUAAGGUUGUAGGAGGUUAUACAGGCAAAUCCGUAUAACAAUACUCCGAGAACUGAAAGGCUUUUUGAAGUCUUCGGAUGGAUAGAAGAACCCCUGAUGCCGUCGAGCCAAGAAAAGUUUCUAAGUUUAGCUAAUGUUGCCCGUACCGUAAACCGACACAGGUGGGUGGGAUGAGUAUUCUAAGGCGCGUGGAAGAACUCUCUUUAAGGAACUCUGCAAAAUAGCACCGUAUCUUCGGUAUAAGGUGUGGUUAGCUUCGUACUAGGAUUUACUCCGAAAGCGAAGAAACUUACAACAAAGAGUCCCUCCCGACUGUUUACCAAAAACACAGCACUCUGCUAACUCGUAAGAGGAUGUAUAGGGUGUGACGCCUGCCCGGUGCUCGAAGGUUAAUUGAUGGGGUUAGCAUUAGCGAAGCUCUUGAUCGAAGCCCGAGUAAACGGCGGCCGUAACUAUAACGGUCCUAAGGUAGCGAAAUUCCUUGUCGGUUAAAUACCGACCUGCAUGAAUGGCGUAACGAGAUGGGAGCUGUCUCAAAGAGGGAUCCAGUGAAAUUGUAGUGGAGGUGAAAAUUCCUCCUACCCGCGGCAAGACGGAAAGACCCCGUGGACCUUUACUACAGCUUGACACUGCUACUUGGAUAAGAAUGUGCAGGAUAGGUGGGAGGCUUUGAGUAUAUGACGCCAGUUGUAUAUGAGCCAUUGUUGAGAUACCACUCUUUCUUAUUUGGGUAGCUAACCAGCUUGAGUUAUCCUCAAGUGGGACAAUGUCUGGUGGGUAGUUUGACUGGGGCGGUCGCCUCCCAAAUAAUAACGGAGGCUUACAAAGGUUGGCUCAGAACGGUUGGAAAUCGUUCGUAGAGUAUAAAGGUAUAAGCCAGCUUAACUGCAAGACAUACAAGUCAAGCAGAGACGAAAGUCGGUCUUAGUGAUCCGGUGGUUCUGUGUGGAAGGGCCAUCGCUCAAAGGAUAAAAGGUACCCCGGGGAUAACAGGCUGAUCUCCCCCAAGAGCUCACAUCGACGGGGAGGUUUGGCACCUCGAUGUCGGCUCAUCGCAUCCUGGGGCUGGAGCAGGUCCCAAGGGUAUGGCUGUUCGCCAUUUAAAGCGGUACGCGAGCUGGGUUCAGAACGUCGUGAGACAGUUCGGUCCCUAUCUGCCGUGGGCGUAAGAAGAUUGAAGAGAUUUGACCCUAGUACGAGAGGACCGGGUUGAACAAACCACUGGUGUAGCUGUUGUUCUGCCAAGAGCAUCGCAGCGUAGCUAAGUUUGGAAAGGAUAAACGCUGAAAGCAUCUAAGCGUGAAGCCAACUCUAAGAUGAAUCUUCUCUAAGCUCUCUAGAAGACUACUAGUUUGAUAGGCUGGGUGUGUAAUGGAUGAAAGUCCUUUAGCUGACCAGUACUAAUAGAGCGUUUGGCUUAUCUUUAAUAAAGCAU